AGUCUUAUGUAUCCGUGUUGAGAUUCCGUCACAAACCAAACCACGAGGGCUGAUGAGACUUUCAAGAUAAGUGAGGCG
RNAcentral lists this microRNA precursor (78 nucleotides) under Schistosoma margrebowiei. RNAcentral describes it as "mir-3492 microRNA precursor family". It matches the Rfam family "mir-3492 microRNA precursor family". Lineage: Eukaryota; Metazoa; Platyhelminthes; Trematoda; Strigeidida; Schistosomatidae. The record is from Rfam by way of RNAcentral.